CUGAGCCCCGGCGCUGUGGGGGGUAGUAGUGGAGAGUCGGGAGAGUAGGGGAGAGCCUCUUCCUGCGCUGGUGGUCCUCAGAGAGGAGGACCCCCGCCUCACAUGUGUGGCCAAUGAGAAUUGUCUCUAGAAUGCAGCAAACCAUGAGCUUGGCAGUUUGAAGUGCACUAAAGCAAUGAGGAGCAAGGGUAAAGGACAUAGCUUCUCAUUGUUCUACUGCUUGGAGCAGCUUUUCAGUCAGUAACCUGACCAAGACAAUUGAUGUGAGCUCAAGAACAAAGCUCCCUUCAUGGUCACAAGAUGACUGCAGCAAUUCCAGCUAUCACAAACUCACACCAACGCCCAGAGGAAUGUCUGGCAUGUUGACAAACUACAUCCGUUGAUGCUUAAAUCAUUGCGAUUUCUUCAAAACAAACAUCCUGCAUGCACACCGAUAAACCCUAAGAAGAAGUAUCAAUACAAAUACUUAUUAUUUGUGUUUAAAAUUAACUGGGCUAUUUUUUUUGCCCAGAAAAAAAGAAAAGUCUACAAUUCAUUCAUAGUAAGAGAGAUCCUGAUUUAGGUUAGAGAGGUUUUGAUUUUAUUUAGGCUAAUUAUUGUGAAUUCUGCCUACUUUAUUUUUGGGUUCUCAAGACCGAGAAAAGUGUCUUGUAAAAAAGGACAAUCGUCCUGUAACAAUUCAGAUGAAAUAAUACUUAAAAGCAUUGUAUACUGGGAGUUCAGAAGUUGUAUCUUAGACUUCAUUAAAGACUUUCAAAGAAAAAAGAAGAGUGGAAGGAGAAGUAUCGUUUGUGAUUUGACUCU
Molecule: long non-coding RNA, 804 nt
Organism: Equus quagga
Lineage: Eukaryota; Metazoa; Chordata; Mammalia; Perissodactyla; Equidae
Exons: 5
Source: RefSeq, a predicted model, not a curated record